This 400-nucleotide ribosomal RNA is filed under the name uncultured bacterium. RNAcentral's name for it is "bacterial SSU rRNA". It matches the Rfam family "Bacterial small subunit ribosomal RNA", at positions 30 to 431 of the family's 1533-position model. The record is from RNAcentral.
AUUGAACGCUGGCGGAAUGCUUUACACAUGCAAGUCGAACGGCAGCACGGGGCAACCUGGUGGCGAGUGGCGAACGGGUGAGUAAUACAUCGGAACGUGCCCAAUCGUGGGGGAUAACGUAGCGAAAGUUACGCUAAUACCGCAUGCGAUCUACGGAUGAAAGCGGGGGAUCGCAAGACCUCGCGCGAUUGGAGCGGCCGAUGUCAGAUUAGGUAGUUGGUGGGGUAAAGGCUCACCAAGCCGACGAUCUGUAGCUGGUCUGAGAGGACGACCAGCCACACUGGGACUGAGACACGGCCCAGACUCCUACGGGAGGCAGCAGUGGGGAAUUUUUGGGACAAUGGGCGCAAGCCUGAUCCAGCCAUUCCGCGUGCAGGAUGAAGGCCUCGGGUUGUAAACU